GACGAACGCUGGCGGCGUGCCUAAUACAUGCAAGUAGAACGAUGAAGGAGGAGCUUGCUCCUCUGGAUGAGUUGCGAAGGGGGGAGUAACGCGUAGGUAACCUGUCUCGUAGCGGGGGAGAACCAUUGGAAACGAUAGCUAAUACCGCAUAAGAGUAGUUGUCGCAUGACAUUCACUUAUAAGGUGCACUUGCAUCACUACCAGAUGGAUCUGCGGUGUAUGAGCUAGAGGUUGGGGUAACGGCUUACCAACGCGACGAUACAUAGACGACCGGCGAGGGGGCGCGGCAUCGCUGGGCCUGGGACACGGCCCAGCCUCCUGCGGGUGGCAGCCGUAGGGGAUUCUCGGGGAUGGCCGGAAGUCUGAACGAGCGACGCCGCGUGAGUGAAUGAGGUUUUCGGGUCGUGUAGCUCUGUUGUGAGUGAAGGACGAAAGUGAGAGUGGAACGUGCACAUUGUGACGGUACCUUAACAGAAAGCGACGGCUAACUACGUG
RNAcentral lists this ribosomal RNA (495 nucleotides) under uncultured bacterium. RNAcentral describes it as "partial 16S ribosomal RNA". It matches the Rfam family "Bacterial small subunit ribosomal RNA", at positions 28 to 507 of the family's 1533-position model. The record is from RNAcentral.